UAGUCAGUGAGGAAGGUGGGUAGUGUUAAUUAGCAUAUUCAUUUGACGUUAGCUGCAGAAGAAGCACCGGCUAACUCCGUGCCAGCAGCCGCGGUAAUACGGAGGGUGCGAGCGUUAAUCGGAAUUACUGGGCGUAAAGCGCAUGCAGGUGGUUUGUUAAGUCAGAUGUGAAAGCCCGGGGCUCAACCUCGGAAUUGCAUUUGAAACUGGCAAACUAGAGUACUGUAGAGGGGGUAGAAUUUCAGGUGUAGCGGUGAAAUGCGUAGAGAUCUGAAGGAAUACCGGUGGCGAAGGCGGCCCCCUGGACAGAUACUGACACUCAGAUGCGAAAGCGUGGGGAGCAAACAGGAUUAGAUACCCUGGUAG
Molecule: ribosomal RNA, 366 nt
Filed under: uncultured bacterium
Lineage: Bacteria
Description: bacterial SSU rRNA
Rfam family: Bacterial small subunit ribosomal RNA
Source: RNAcentral